AACGCACAUUGCGCCCUUUGGUAUUCCGAAGGGCAUGCCUGUUCGAGCGUCAUUAUCACCCCUCAAGCCUGGCUUGCUGUUGGGCUCUUGGUCGUGGAUCCCCACGACCGGCCCCAAAGAUAAUGACGGCGUCCGUCGGACCCUCGGUACAAGGAGCUUUUUACGAGGCACGUACUGAAGUGGGCUGGCAGACCCGGUCUUUUUAAUUAGUUUUUUCUAAGGUUGACCUCGGAUCAGGUAGGAAUACCCGCUGAACUUAA
Molecule: unclassified non-coding RNA, 260 nt
Filed under: uncultured fungus
Lineage: Eukaryota; Fungi
Description: partial contains 5.8S ribosomal RNA, internal transcribed spacer 2, and large subunit ribosomal RNA
Rfam family: 5.8S ribosomal RNA (bases 1-52)
Source: RNAcentral